CAUAAAGUAGAAAGCACUACUAAACUUUACUGCACAGUGUAGUGUUUCCUACUUUAUGGA
This 60-nucleotide microRNA precursor is filed under the name Monopterus albus (swamp eel). RNAcentral describes it as "Mal-Mir-142-P4-v3_pre stem-loop". It matches the Rfam family "mir-142 microRNA precursor family", at positions 14 to 73 of the family's 85-position model. The record is from RNAcentral. Lineage: Eukaryota; Metazoa; Chordata; Actinopteri; Synbranchiformes; Synbranchidae.